ACCAGCUGUGCGGCCCAAAGCGACGCGCAGGGCUGCUUCAAGGAUGCAGGCAUCCGCGGCUGGACCAAUUCUUUAGCGCACCGGCCGGCUCGUAGGGCUGCCGGUGCG
This 108-nucleotide small RNA is filed under the name Xanthomonas albilineans GPE PC73. RNAcentral's name for it is "Xanthomonas sRNA sX2". It matches the Rfam family "Xanthomonas sRNA sX2". The record is from Rfam by way of RNAcentral. Lineage: Bacteria; Pseudomonadati; Pseudomonadota; Gammaproteobacteria; Lysobacterales; Lysobacteraceae.